UACAGAGAGUGCGAACGUUGUUCGGAAUUACUGGGCUUAAAGCGCACGUAGGCUGCAUCGUAAGUGUCCGGUGAAAUCCCACGGCUCACCCGUGGAACUGCCUGGCAUACUGCGAUGCUCGAGUAUGGUAGGGGAGAGCGGAACUCCUGGUGGAGCGGUGAAAUGCGUAGAUAUCAGGAGGAACACCGGUGGCGAAGGCGGCUCUCUGGUCCAUGUCUGACGCUGAGGUGCGAAAGCUAGGGGAGCAAACGGG
RNAcentral lists this ribosomal RNA (253 nucleotides) under uncultured bacterium. RNAcentral's name for it is "partial 16S ribosomal RNA". It matches the Rfam family "Bacterial small subunit ribosomal RNA", at positions 524 to 776 of the family's 1533-position model. The record is from RNAcentral.